This 588-nucleotide ribosomal RNA is filed under the name uncultured bacterium. RNAcentral describes it as "partial 16S ribosomal RNA". It matches the Rfam family "Bacterial small subunit ribosomal RNA", at positions 355 to 1375 of the family's 1533-position model. The record is from RNAcentral.
UGGGGAAUUUUGGACAAUGGGCGAAAGCCUGAUCCAGCAAUGCCGCGUGUGUGAAGAAGGCCUUCGGGUUGUAAAGCACUUUUGUCCGGAAAGAAAUCCUUGGCUCUAAUACAGUCGGGGGAUGACGGUACCGGAAGAAUAAGCACCGGCUAACUACGUGCCAGCAGCCGCGGUAAUACGUAGGGUGCAAGCGUUAAUCGGAAUUACUGGGCGUAAAGCGUGCGCAGGCGGUUUGCUAAGACCGAUGUGAAAUCCCCGGGCUCAACCUGGGAACUGCAUUGGUGACUGGCAGGCUAGAGUAUGGCAGAGGGGGGUAGAAUUCCACGUGUAGCAGUGAAAUGCGUAGAGAUGUGGAGGAAUACCGAUGGCGAAGGCAGCCCCCUGGGCCAAUACUGACGCUCAUGCACGAAAGCGUGGGGAGCAAAACAGGAUUAGAUACCCUGGUAGUCCACGCCCUAAAACGAUGUCAACUAGUUGUUGGGGGGUUCAUUUCCUUAGUAACGUAGCUAACGCGUGAAGUUGACCGCCUGGGGAGUACGGUCGCAAGAUUAAAACUCAAAUGAAUUGACGGGGUCAUAGCUGUUUCCU